This 1236-nucleotide long non-coding RNA is filed under the name Catharus ustulatus (Swainson's thrush). Its description in RNAcentral is "lncRNA (ENSCUSG00005001443.1)". Lineage: Eukaryota; Metazoa; Chordata; Aves; Passeriformes; Turdidae. The record is from RNAcentral.
UGUGCUCCAGGAUGCCUUGAUCCACGCUGAGAGCCUCAGAAUCCAGCUGAGCAUUGCUUGGAUGUGAACUUCCCUUCCUGUUUCCCAGCACAGGUUGCUCUCAGGCACAAGAUUCUGCAAGCUAUUUUGGUUGGUCCUGCCAUGAAGGAGAUGGUCCUGUGGAAACGCUAACCUACAGCUGCUGCCUUCCAGCACCCUGCUAGAUGUGCACAGGAGGAAGCAAGAAGAUAAGCAAGGACACCCCUCAGUCCUCCUUCUUGAUGCUAAGAGGAUGUAGUGACACCUAGAAUUGAGAGUUUCUAUCUCUAGGGGAACUGUCCUAACUUCUGACAGAGGGAAAAUAUCAGAUUCCACUGACUACUUCUGCUAUCUAAGUAUUUUAUAUGGAAACUUGUAAUCUGGGGAAAGCUGCAAGCUAAGAAUCUCAGAGGCAGCAACCCCUACCACUGUGAGACUGUUAUGACGGAGCUGGUCCCUGCCUCUAUGAACUUGGUCCCAAUUUAUAUUAGACUGUGUAGUAACCCCCAGCACCGCCUUCCUGUGUGUCCAUCUCCUGCAGUGCCAGGGUAGCACUAAGGGCUUCUAGCCAGCAUAGUCCUGUGUAAACAAUGACUAUUUAUUCAUUCUCAGAGAAGGGACCUGAGGCUGAGUGCUUUUAAGUAAGUGGGACAUACAGUGGCCUUCUGCAGUUCUGUGCAUCUGACCCUUUUCUUCAUUGAUUCUACUCCAAGCACCUGCAAAUGUAACAUUCCGUACUGAAAACGUUUUGUGCUUAAUGGCUUGCUUUCACUGUUGUGAGAAAAAUGAAAAUUUCAGAGGGGUUGCAAUCAAGACUCUUCCCUGUCCUCUCCAUUCUGUUGUCAACAUGAAAAAUCAGCUAUUCCUGUAAUCCAAGUCCCAGGAUAAUGUCAAAUGAAGUCCACACAGGAGAGGCAAGAGUACAGAUGCAAGGGCAGCCUGUUGGGCUCCCCAACCUUCAGAUUCUGCAAGUGGCAGCACUGUGCUGACCUUCCAGAAAGUGGGAAUGACACAAGAGAUUGCCAUGUGACUCCUAAUGCUUUAUGGGUAAUUGGAAUGGUGAUGCACCCAACUGACUGCUGCAGUUUUCUGAGAAAAGAAAAAGUGAGUAAAAAUAUAGUAGAUCUUCAAAGCAACACAAUUCUUCAACCUGGAGAAGAAAUACCUUCAGAUUUCCACUCCAAGUACUACUGUGCCUUCUCCGGGUGGAUGGAAUAA